This is a long non-coding RNA of Cydia fagiglandana, 298 nucleotides long. RefSeq lists it as uncharacterized. The transcript is spliced from 2 exons. The record is from RefSeq and is a predicted model, not a curated record. Lineage: Eukaryota; Metazoa; Arthropoda; Insecta; Lepidoptera; Tortricidae.
GUUCUAAGUAGAAAAAAAACAUGAUACGCUUUUAUACAGAAAGGUUUGGUUAUCCGCGUCGCACUGAAACCUCCCUAAUUUAGCCAUUCGGCGCCGUAACGGCGUUGAAAUCAGUCAAUCAAGCUCUGAAGAGGUUGAGCCGCCGGCCCUGCGGCGAGGAGUCGGUGGUGAGCGUCAUGUUGGCGCAGAUCUCGUCGAAGGAGGGCAGGUGCGCGAGCCGCCCGCGCGCCGCCACCGACGGCCGCCCGCUCAGCAUGCGCCGGGCCACGCGCACUAUGUCGUCCGCUGUCACUUUUUC